CGUAGGAGGCAAGCGUUAUCCGGAUUCACUGGGCGUAAAGCGCGUGCAGGCGGUGCGGUAAGUUGGGUGUGAAAUCUCCCGGCUCAACUGGGAGAGGUCAUUCAAUACUACCGUACUCGAGAGCAGAAGAGGAAGAUGGAAUUCCCGGUGUAGUGGUGAAAUGCGUAGAUAUCGGGAGGAACACCAGUGGCGAAGGCGAUCUUCUGGUCUGUUUCUGACGCUCAGACGCGACAGCUAGGGUAGUAAACGGGAUUAGAGACCCCGGUAAUCCUAGCCGUAAACGAUGUGAACUUGGCGUUGGUGGGUUAAACUCCAUCAGUGCCGUAGCAAACGCGAUAAGUUCACCGCCUGGGGACUACGGCCGCAAGGUUA
RNAcentral lists this ribosomal RNA (372 nucleotides) under uncultured organism. RNAcentral describes it as "bacterial SSU rRNA". It matches the Rfam family "Bacterial small subunit ribosomal RNA", at positions 526 to 896 of the family's 1533-position model. The record is from RNAcentral.